AAUUAAUUAGUAUAUAAAGUACACUUAACUUCCAAUUAAAAAGAUUGAAUUUAAUCAAAUUAAUUA
Molecule: transfer RNA, 66 nt
Filed under: Homoeoxipha nigripes
Lineage: Eukaryota; Metazoa; Arthropoda; Insecta; Orthoptera; Trigonidiidae
Description: tRNA-Gly
Source: RNAcentral